CCUACGGGAGGCAGCAGUGAGGAAUAUUGGUCAAUGGGCGCGAGCCUGAACCAGCCAAGUCGCGUGAGGGAAGACGGUCCUAUGGAUUGUAAACCUCUUUUGUCGGGGAGCAAAAGACGCCACGCGUGGCGUUCCGAGAGUACCCGAAGAAAAAGCAUCGGCUAACUCCGGGCCAGCAGCCGCGGUAAUACGGAGGAUGCGAGCGUUAUCCGGAUUUAUUGGGUUUAAAGGGUGCGCAGGCGGAAGAGCAAGUCAGCGGUAAAAUUGAGAGGCUCAACCUCUUCGAGCCGUUGAAACUGGUGUUCUUGAGUGAGUGAGAAGUAUGCGGAAUGCGUGGUGUAGCGGUGAAAUGCAUAGAUAUCACGCAGAACUCCGAUUGCGAAGGCAGCAUACCGGCGCUCAACUGACGCUCAUGCACGAAAGUGUGGGUAUCGAACAGGAUUAGAUACCCGAGUAGUC
Molecule: ribosomal RNA, 459 nt
Filed under: uncultured bacterium
Lineage: Bacteria
Description: partial 16S ribosomal RNA
Rfam family: Bacterial small subunit ribosomal RNA
Source: RNAcentral